AGUGAACGCUGGCGGUAGGCCUAACACAUGCGAGUCGAACGGCAGCACAGUAAGAGCUUGCUCUUACGGGUGGCGAGUGGCGGACGAGUGAGGAAUACAUCGGAAUCUACUUUUUCGUGGGGGAUAACGUAGGGAAACUUACGCUAAUACCGCAUACGACCUACGGGUGAAAGCAGGGGAUCUUCGGACCUUGCGCGAUUGAAUGAGCCGAUGUCGGAUUAGCUAGUUGGCGGGGUAAAGGCCCACCAAGGCGACGAUCCGUAGCUGGUCUGAGAGGCUGAUCAGCCACACUGGAACUGAGACACGGUCCAGACUCCUACGGGAGGCAGCAGUGGGGAAUAUUGGACAAUGGGCGCAAGCCUGAUCCAGCCAUACCGCGUGGGUGAAGAAGGCCUUCGGGUUGUAAAGCCCUUUUGUUGGGAAAGAAAAGCAGCAGGUUAAUACCCCGCUGUUCUGACGGUACCCAAAGAAUAAGCACCGGCUAACUUCGUG
RNAcentral lists this ribosomal RNA (492 nucleotides) under uncultured bacterium. Its description in RNAcentral is "partial 16S ribosomal RNA". It matches the Rfam family "Bacterial small subunit ribosomal RNA", at positions 29 to 507 of the family's 1533-position model. The record is from RNAcentral.